Molecule: ribosomal RNA, 255 nt
Filed under: uncultured bacterium
Lineage: Bacteria
Description: partial small subunit ribosomal RNA
Rfam family: Bacterial small subunit ribosomal RNA
Source: RNAcentral
AGGACGAACGCUGGCGGCGUGCUUAACACAUGCAAGUCGAGCGGAAAGGCCCUUCGGGGUACUCGAGCGGCGAACGGGUGAGUAACACGUGAGUAAUCUGCCCCUAGCUCUGGGAUAGCUCCGGGAAACCGGGAUUAAUACCGGAUAUGACCACUUUAGACAUCUGUUGUGGUGGAAAGAAUUUCGGCUAGGGAUGAGCUCGCGGCCUAGUCAGCUUGUUGGUGGGGUAACGGCCUACCAAGGCGACGACGGGUA